Molecule: non-coding RNA, 88 nt
Organism: Beta vulgaris subsp. vulgaris (sugar beet)
Lineage: Eukaryota; Viridiplantae; Streptophyta; Magnoliopsida; Caryophyllales; Amaranthaceae
Source: Rfam
AAGCAGUGAGGAUAAUUGCGCAUGCUGUGGCAGUUGGGUCCGCCACAUUACAUCUGACUUCAGAUGCAACAAGAGCGCAUCUGAGCUU